UACGGGGGGAGCAAGCGUUGUUCGGAUUUACUGGGCGUAAAGGGCGCGUAGGCGGCGCAACAAGUCACUUGUGAAAUCUCCGGGCUUAACCCGGAGCGGCCAAGUGAUACUGUCGUGCUAGAGUGCGGAAGGGGCUACUGGAAUUCUCGGUGUAGCGGUGAAAUGCGCAGAUAUCAGGAGGAACACCGGUGGCGAAGGCGGGUCUCUGGGCCGAUACUGACGCUGAGGAGCGAAAGCGUGGGGAGCAAACAGG
This 253-nucleotide ribosomal RNA is filed under the name uncultured bacterium. RNAcentral describes it as "partial 16S ribosomal RNA". It matches the Rfam family "Bacterial small subunit ribosomal RNA", at positions 524 to 776 of the family's 1533-position model. The record is from RNAcentral.